GGGCGGUUUUGAACCGCCGUUAUCACAAAUGUAUAAAAUCAAAACUUACCAUCCCCUUCUUCAUUUACUGCCGCUCUCUGAUACACGAUACACGAUUGAUGAAGGCUCGUUCUCUGAUCUCCCUCGCUCGUCUCGUCCUCCGCUAGCUACCGCUGCUUUCGACCUCCACCGCCGCUUCCUCAGAUCUCAGAACACCACAGCCAACUGCUCCUUCACGCUGCCGAUCUCGAUGUCACCGUCGACUGCUCCUUCUCGCCGCUGCUACGCAGAUCCUCUCCUCCCACAGCAUUGCCAUCGCCUCCACCUCCUCCAUUGCAUGUAUUAAAUUGUUUGGCCUUGGCUGUUGGAUGCGGCAAUAAUGCACGAGAAAUUUCUAACGUUUUCUGCUGCAUGUUCACGAUCUUUGCUGCAGUGUUGAAUUUUGAGCCAUUGUUUUAUUCUCUGGGGAGUGGUGUGUUUUGGAAUCGCAUAUUAUGUACAAGGAGUUGUGACCAGGGAACGUGGACCAGUUUUUAUGACUUCUUUCAGUCCUCUAAUUAUGAUUAUCACUGCUGUAUUGGGUACCAUUGUCUUGGCUGAGCAAAUUCAUCUUGGAAGGUCAGUUCCAUAUGAAAGUCUAUAAUAGGGUUUCAUUAAUUAUGUUUAGUUCUUGCUGAGACACUAGUCAGUUAAUAAAUAUACUAACUUGUUAAUUUACAACGUAAUUGGAGCUAUUGUAAUUGUUUGUGG
This is a non-coding RNA of Arachis ipaensis, 729 nucleotides long. The record is from RefSeq and is a predicted model, not a curated record. Lineage: Eukaryota; Viridiplantae; Streptophyta; Magnoliopsida; Fabales; Fabaceae.